Molecule: ribosomal RNA, 254 nt
Filed under: uncultured bacterium
Lineage: Bacteria
Description: partial 16S ribosomal RNA
Rfam family: Bacterial small subunit ribosomal RNA
Source: RNAcentral
UACGGAGGGGGCUAGCGUUGUUCGGAUUUACUGGGCGUAAAGGGCGCGUAGGCGGCCACCGCAAGUCAGUUGUGAAAGCUCUGGGCUUAACCCAGAAAGGUCAACUGAUACUGCGGGGCUAGAGUGCAGAAGGGGCAACUGGAAUUCUCGGUGUAGCGGUGAAAUGCGUAGAUAUCGUAAGGAAGACCAGUGGCGAAGGCGAGUCUCUGGACAGUUACUGACGCUGAGGCACGAAGGCCAGGGGAGCAAACGGG